Molecule: long non-coding RNA, 800 nt
Organism: Cyprinus carpio carpio
Lineage: Eukaryota; Metazoa; Chordata; Actinopteri; Cypriniformes; Cyprinidae
Source: Ensembl
GCCGUAAGAAGGAAAAUCAGGGAAUUCGAUGCACCUGUGCCUAGUUAGGGACAGCGGUUGGUGAUUGGAGGAUACGCUGGACAAGGCAGUACUUAAGGCCAAGUUAUUUCACAGUCUGGGCGCUCUUUCUGGCUGGAAUUGUAUGAUUGUGAAGACAUCGCGAACCUUAAAGGUUGAGAAGUGAACGGAUUAUACGGCGAACUGAGACGACGUGAAAAAGGGGAUUGGAAGCGGCAUUGAUUGAGAAGAUAAAGAAGACAUGAGUAACUCCACAGUGAACCUCACCAUAGAUGAUACGUCCACCAUCCCCGCAACAUUUGUAUUUAAUGAAUUUGACAUCAUAAACUUUAAUAUUUUGGGCUUCGGUUUCUUGUUUGGUCUUCUUACAAACACCUAUGUGAUCUGGCUCAUCCUCACAGGAGCAGGAAGUGGAGUUGCAUCAGAAUUCUUCAUCCUCAAUCUCUCUGUUUGUGGGCUGUUUUUCUCUGUGUACUCUUUGCUAAAGUUUUUUACACUAAUAUUUUUGAAAUUUCCAAGUCUACGAUCAUCAGCUAACUUUUUUUUAGGAGUUGCCAUCACAGGUUAUCCUCUGUUUCAGUGUCUGAUCUGUGUUGAGCGUUACCUGGCAGUGGUUCAUCCUGUAACCUUUCUGAAGUACAAACCUCUCAGAUACAGAGUGAUCUUUUGCUCUGUGGCCUGGAUAAUCAUACUUGGUUCUUGUUUAAUCUGCAUGCACAGUUUGCUUGUAUUUACUCUAUAUAUGUAUAUGUGGUUUCUCUCAAUGCAAUUUCUGCUCUUCC